RNAcentral lists this ribosomal RNA (497 nucleotides) under uncultured Candidatus Poseidoniales archaeon. RNAcentral's name for it is "bacterial SSU rRNA". It matches the Rfam family "Archaeal small subunit ribosomal RNA", at positions 1 to 502 of the family's 1478-position model. Lineage: Archaea; Methanobacteriati; Thermoplasmatota; Candidatus Poseidoniia; Candidatus Poseidoniales. The record is from RNAcentral.
ACCUGGUUGAUCCUGCCAGAGGCUACCGCUAUUGGAGUUCGAUUAAGCCAUGCGAGUCGCGAGAAAUUAGAUUCUCGGCGUACCGCUCAGUAACACGUGGGUAACCUGCCCUAUGCUGGAUAAUAACCUCGGGAAACUGAGAAUAAUGAUCCAUAGUUCACUACGCCUGGAACGGUGAGUGGAUGAAAGCUCCGGCGGCAUAGGAUGGGCCUGCGGCGUAUCGGGUUGUAGGGGGUGUAACGUACCCUCUAGCCCUCUACGCGUACGGGUGUUGGGAGACAUAGCCCGGAGAUGGAUUCUGAGACACGAAUCCAGACCCUACGGGGUGCAGCAGGCGCGAAAACUUGGCAAUGCGAGAAAUCGUGACCAGGGAACUCCAAGUGCAUCGGGUAAGACCGGUGCUUUUCUUGACUCUAAAUAGGUCUUGGAAUAAGGGGUGGGUAAGGACGGUGCCAGCCGCCGCGGUAAUACCGGCGCCUCAAGUGGUAGUCGCUUUU